CAGCAGCCGCGGUAAUACGUAGGGUGCGAGCGUUAAUCGGAAUUACUGGGCGUAAAGCGUGCGCAGGCGGUUAUAUAAGACAGAUGUGAAAUCCCCGGGCUCAACCUGGGACCUGCAUUUGUGACUGUAUAGCUAGAGUGUGUCAGAGGGGGGUAGAAUUCCACGUGUAGCAGUGAAAUGCGUAGAUAUGUGGAGGAAUACCGAUGGCGAAGGCAGCCCCCUGGGAUAACACUGACGCUCAUGCACGAAAGCGUGGGGAGCAAACAGGAUUAGAGACCCCAGUAGUCCCUGUCUCUUAUAC
RNAcentral lists this ribosomal RNA (301 nucleotides) under uncultured bacterium. RNAcentral describes it as "partial 16S ribosomal RNA". It matches the Rfam family "Bacterial small subunit ribosomal RNA", at positions 509 to 807 of the family's 1533-position model. The record is from RNAcentral.